RNAcentral lists this ribosomal RNA (253 nucleotides) under uncultured bacterium. RNAcentral's name for it is "partial 16S ribosomal RNA". It matches the Rfam family "Bacterial small subunit ribosomal RNA", at positions 109 to 353 of the family's 1533-position model. The record is from RNAcentral.
AGUAACGCGUAGGUAACCUGCCUUGUAGCGGGGGAGUAACUAUUGGAAACGAUAGCUAAUACCGCAUAACAAUGGGUGACACAUGUCAUUUAUUUUGAAAGGGGCAACUGCUCCACUACAAGAUGGACCUGCGUUGUAUUAGCUAGUAGGUGAGGUAACGGCUCACCUAGGCGACGAUACAUAGCCGACCUGAGAGGGUGAUCGGCCACACUGGGACUGAGACACGGCCCAGACUCCUACGGGAGGCAGCAUG